GACGAACCGUGCGAACGUUGUUCGGAAUCACUGGGCUUAAAGGGCGCGUAGGCGGCUUGGCAAGUGGAUGGUGAAAUCCCUCGGCUUAACCGAGGAACUGCCAUCCAGACUGCUUUGCUUGAGGCCGGGAGAGGUGAGUGGAAUUCCCAGUGUAGCGGUGAAAUGCGUAGAUAUUGGGAGGAACACCAGUGGCGAAGGCGGCUCACUGGACCGGUUCUGACGCUGAGGCGUGAAAGCGUGGGGAGCAAACGGG
This 253-nucleotide ribosomal RNA is filed under the name uncultured bacterium. RNAcentral describes it as "partial 16S ribosomal RNA". It matches the Rfam family "Bacterial small subunit ribosomal RNA", at positions 524 to 776 of the family's 1533-position model. The record is from RNAcentral.